Callorhinus ursinus (northern fur seal) is the source of this 2483-nucleotide non-coding RNA. NCBI's taxonomy places the organism in Eukaryota, Metazoa, Chordata, Mammalia, Carnivora, Otariidae. The record is from RefSeq and is a predicted model, not a curated record.
CUGGGUGGGCGGGGAGGAUGUGUAACACGCACAGGGCACACGCCAAGGUUCAAGGCUCGCGUGGGCUAGCCCGUUCCUACACGUGGCUGCACCCCUCACUGCUCCUCUUUCUCCGGGCUCCUCUCCUUGAAAAUCAAAGGCUCCUGCUCAGUUUUCACCCCCACGUGUCCCAGCCAUCCCAACAGAGGAAUGCCCGAGGUGGCUAGGACGGUGGCUUCUAGCUCAGAGGGUGCCCCCCUGACAGCCUGGGGGAGGGCUGACCUGGCUGAGGAGUGGCAGGAGGGGGUUAAGAGCAGCCUGUGAAUGGGGGCAGAACGGAAGAGCAUCGGCCUGGCCCUCUUCUUCCUCUCCCCACCUUAUUACAUAUGGCCUUGUAUUAUACUACGUAAUAUAUGUAUUCGAUAUGGCCUUGUGAUAGCAAUCAUUCACACCUUAGUGUAAAAUUUCCCCACCAGAUAGAUCACUUCCUCAAGUGAAUUUCUUUGGUUAUGGAAUAGAAAGCCACGGCCAGAGUCCAGGGGGUUUCAGGUGCCAGGACAGGAGUGGGGUUUAAGGACAAAAACCAUCCAUGAGCCUCGAUUUCCUGCUCUCCUCUCUGAGGUUGUUUUUGCCUGCCUGCCUCGGCAGUGCGGCUGCGCUUCAGCCUGGUUGGACUACCUGAGAAAUAAGGCCAGAAGGUCAGGUCUGAAACCCAAUCUAGGCUGUGCAGCCACAGAGCCAAGGGUCCAGACUCCUGGGAGUUGGACAGAGACAGGAAGUUAAAAAUAGAUGUGCUGCUUCCCUGUCCUGGUGGGCAGCUUCUUCCUCACCCGUGGACAAGGUGGGCCGAAGAGACUGAGGCCAGAUGGUGGUCGCUCGGGGACCUCAGAACCCACCCAGGCUGGGAGGUCUCCAGAAUUCCCCGAGCGAGCGGGAGAUUCUCCAGGAGGAGCCCCCAGGAGAGGUCCGGCCAUCAGGGUCAUCUUUCUCGAAACAAGAUGCAGACUUUGCCGGACGUGAUCUUGUCCUUGCUGAUGGCCAGUGAGGCCUCGUGGGACAGGGUCCGAUCCCCUCUGGCCUCUUCCCGCCCAGAGUGCUGACCCAAGAAAUCCCGGAAUGGAGCAGCAAGAGGCUAGGGGCCCACCUUGGGACAUUAUCUGGGCAGAGCUCCGGACUGGGGCCUGCGGGAACAUUCCGAUGGAUGCAGGAAAUCCAGAGGCCCCCAAAGGCCCAGCAGGAGGAGAGAUGCAGGCAGGACCGGGCACAGAAUUCAAGAGACCCAGUGCAAAAGAAAAUGAGGGGCCUUUGAUUUCAAAACACAUUAAGGAUUUCGAGAUGGCAACGGCAGAGCAUUACAACUGAGCACGGGGCCCUGGCACGUGCCGGAACUGAGCAGCCGAGAGAUGAGUGGGCGUCCGGGAGAGCCUGACCUCAGGGGCCAGGCAUCACUGGGGAUGGAGAGGGCAGCUGUGGAACCCCAGGGAGGAGCCAUAGUCUGGGGCUCAGGUGGUCCACUCCAGGACACGGCAGUGAAGCCAAGGCUCAAAGGAGGUUAAGCAGCAACUGGCCAGGUUCGGAGCCCCGCUUGGCUGGGAGUCCUGCCUGUUACCACAUUGGCUCGGACAGGCAGAUAUUUGGGUCCCUCAGGAUGCCUGAAGGAUGGCCCCACAGGCCUGCUAGCCGGCAGACAGCACCCCCAGGCUUGCACGGUGCCUGAUGGGAAGCCCAGGACCAGGUGGCGGCCCCAGGAGUGGAAAUGAACCUUUCUCCUGGGGAUUACCUGCAGCUAGAGGGAACACAUGGAGAGCCAUGAACUCGUGUCUGGAGGGUCCAGACUGACCCCAGGCCCAUCUCUGCCGAGGCUGCUCCUCUUCCUUCGAAAAUUCCCCUCAAGCCCCUGCCGCGUACCAGCAUGUGUUGGCUGCUUGCUAUGUGUCACCCCAUUGUACUCUCAUGACAGCUCUGUGGGGGAGGGACACUCACGAUCCCCAUUUCAGAUGAGGAAACCGAGACUCAGGGGUGAAGUCACCGGCCCCAGGUCACAGAGCUGGGGUAGGUGGCCCCGCGUCCCAUCCUGUCAAACAGGAAGAACAUUCCAUCCUAACCCCGCCCCCAGGAGACUAAGUUCCAGUUCCGAACCCGGCUUGCUGUGUGACCUUGGGUGAGCAGCUCCACCUCUCUCAGCCUGCUUUCUGAUCUGCCAGGUGGGCCUGAUAAGCUCAGGCAGAGCGGACUUACAGGACCAACUGAGAUGAUACCCAUUCGGGUCUCAAGGAAAUUACAGGUUUCUCCCAGCACCCAGUGUCACACACGUACGUCCGCGCGCACGCGCACGGUGCUGGGCUGCAGGCCUGCCAGCAGAGCGAGCCUCGGGGUCACAGGCGGCAGAAGACCAACCAGCCCCGCACCCUCCACCGGGGCAGAACUUACGCGAUCCUCCGGCUCUGCGCGCUGCUGAAGCCCGCGAAGGAGGCGCUCCGGCCCACGACCCCCACGGCCCCCGC